AACGCACCUUGCACCCCCGGGUAUUCCUGGGGGUAUGCCUGUUUGAGUGUCAUUUUCUUAUUCUCAAUGCAUCUGCAGUUCUUCUGCUUUGCAUUGGAUGAUGAAGGCUGCUGGCUUUUCAGUCAGCUCCUUUGAAAUACAUUAGCAGGAAACUGGCAAAAAACCAGCUUCAGUUUGAUAGGAAUCUAGCUGUUUGCUGUGGAGCCACUUCUAUUCUGCUCUUGGUCUUGGAUUGAGACUGCUCAUUCUUCUGAGCAAUGUUUGUUGUAACUUGACCUCAAAUCAGGUAGGACUACCCGCUGAACUUAA
This 309-nucleotide unclassified non-coding RNA is filed under the name uncultured fungus. RNAcentral describes it as "sequence contains ITS2". The stretch from base 1 to 52 matches the Rfam family "5.8S ribosomal RNA", at positions 103 to 154 of the family's 154-position model. Lineage: Eukaryota; Fungi. The record is from RNAcentral.